CCUACGGGUGGCAGCAGUGAGGAAUAUUGGUCAAUGGGCGUAAGCCUGAACCAGCCAAGUCGCGUGAGGGAUGAAGGUUCUAUGGAUCUUAAACCUCUUUUAUCAGGGGAUAAAGUUCGGGACGUGUCCCGUUGUGUAUGUACCUUAUGAAUAAGAAUCGGCUAACUCCGUGCCAGCAGCCGCGGUAAUACGGAGGUGCCGAGCGUUGCCCGGAUUUAGUGGGUUUAAAGGGUGCGAAGGCGGCCGUUUAAGUCAGCGGUGAAAGUAUGGGGCUCAACCAGAGAAUUGCAGUUGAAACUGGGAGGCUUGAGUAUUUUUGAGGCAGGCAGAAUGCGUGGUGUAGCGGUGAAAUGCUUAGAUAUCAGGCAGAACACCGGUUGCGAAGGCGGCCUCCCAGACCAUGACUGACGCUGAUGCGCGAAAGCGUGGGGAGCAAACAGGAUUAGAUACCCGGGUAGUC
This 460-nucleotide ribosomal RNA is filed under the name uncultured bacterium. RNAcentral's name for it is "partial 16S ribosomal RNA". It matches the Rfam family "Bacterial small subunit ribosomal RNA", at positions 338 to 795 of the family's 1533-position model. The record is from RNAcentral.